GGUCCAGGCGUUAUCCGGAUUUAUUGGGUUUAAAGGGAGCGCAGGCGGACUCUUAAGUCAGUUGUGAAAUACGGCGGCUCAACCGUCGGACUGCAGUUGAUACUGGGAGUCUUGAGUGCACACAGGGAUGCUGGAAUUCAUGGUGUAGCGGUGAAAUGCUCAGAUAUCAUGAAGAACUCCGAUCGCGAAGGCAGGUAUCCGGGGUGCAACUGACGCUGAGGCUCGAAAGUGCGGGUAUCA
Molecule: ribosomal RNA, 240 nt
Filed under: uncultured bacterium
Lineage: Bacteria
Description: partial 16S ribosomal RNA
Rfam family: Bacterial small subunit ribosomal RNA
Source: RNAcentral